GUCCACGCCGUAACGAUGUCGAUUGGAGGCUGUGUCCUUGAGACGUGGCUUCCGGAGCUAACGCGUUAAUCGACCGCCUGGGAGUACGGCCGCAAGGUUAACUCAAUGAAUUGACGGGCCCGCACAAGCGGUGGAGCAUGUGGUUUAAUUCGAUGCAACGCGAAGAACCUUACCUGGCCUUGACAUGUCUGGAAUCCUGCAGAGAUGCGGAGUGCCUUCGGGAAUCAGAACACAGGUGCUGCAUGGCUGUCGU
This 253-nucleotide ribosomal RNA is filed under the name uncultured bacterium. RNAcentral describes it as "partial 16S ribosomal RNA". It matches the Rfam family "Bacterial small subunit ribosomal RNA", at positions 793 to 1055 of the family's 1533-position model. The record is from RNAcentral.